ACGGGUGAGUAACGCGUGGAUAACCUGCCGUAUACAGGGGGAUAACACUUAGAAAUAGGUGCUAAUACCGCAUAAGCGCACGGUUCCGCAUGGAACAGUGUGAAAAACUCCGGUGGUAUACGAUGGAUCCGCGUCUGAUUAGCCAGUUGGCGGGGUAACGGCCCACCAAAGCGACGAUCAGUAGCCGGCCUGAGAGGGUGAACGGCCACAUUGGGACUGAGACACGGCCCAAACUCCUACGGGAGGCAGCAGUGGGGAAUAUUGCACAAUGGGGGAAACCCUGAUGCAGCGACGCCGCGUGAGUGAAGAAGUAUUUCGGUACGUAAAGCUCUAUCAGCAGGGAAGAAAAAAAGUCCUUUGGACUUUGGACGGUACCUGACCAAGAAGCCCCGGCUAACUACGUGCCAGCAGCCGCGGUAAUACGUAGGGGGCAAGCGUUAUCCGGAUUUACUGGGUGUAAAGGGAGCGUAGACGGCAGCGCAAGUCUGGAGCGAAAUGCCGGGGCCCAACCCCGGAACUGCUUUGGAAACUGUGCAGCUCGAGUGCAGGAGAGGUAAGCGGAAUUCCUAGUGUAGCGGUGAAAUGCGUAGAUAUUAGGAGGAACACCAGUGGCGAAGGCGGCUUACUGGACUGUAACUGACGUUGAGGCUCGAAAGCGUGGGGAGCAAACAGGAUUAGAUACCCUGGUAGUCCACGCCGUAAACGAUGAUUACUAGGUGUCGGGGGGCCAAGGCCCUUCGGUGCCGCCGCAAACG
RNAcentral lists this ribosomal RNA (755 nucleotides) under uncultured bacterium. RNAcentral's name for it is "bacterial SSU rRNA". It matches the Rfam family "Bacterial small subunit ribosomal RNA", at positions 102 to 857 of the family's 1533-position model. The record is from RNAcentral.